AUGCUCCUGCUCUAUUCCCCAUCCUGCCUGCUCCAUUCCUGCUCCAUUCCUGCCCCAUUCCCCAUCCUGCCUGCUCCAUUCCUGCUCCAUUCCCCAUCCUGCCUGCCCCAUUCCUUCUCCAUUCCCCAUCCUGGCCUGUUCCCUUCCUGUUCCACUCCCAAUCCCUGCUGCCUCCAUUCCCAACUCCUGCCUGUUCCCACUCUGUUCCCAGUCCCUGCCAGCUCCAUCCACAAUUCCUACGCCUUCCCUCCCUGUUCUACUCCCCCUAUCACCUCACUCUCCACUCCAUUUUCAAUCCCUUCCUACUUGUUUUCUGCUCCAUUCCCAAUCCCUGCUGCCAGCUCCAUUCCCUCUCUAUUCCCAUUCUCUCUCCAUUCCCACUCCCCACCCACUCCAUUCCCUCUUUAUUCCCAAUCCCACCCGUUCCCAUUCCCUUUCUAUUCCCAUUGCCUCUCCAUUCCCAAUCCCUGCUCGUUCCCAUUCCCGCUCCAUUCCCCUUCCCGCCCAUUCCCAAUCCCACCUGUUCCCAUUCCUGCUCCACUCCAUUCUCUUUCUAUUCCCAUUCCCACUCCAUUCCCAAUCCCUGCCCAUUCCUAUUCUUGCUUCUUUCCCUCUCUAUUCCCAUUCCUGCCCCAUUCCCAAUCCCACCUAUUCCCAUUCCCUUUCUAUUCCCAUUGCCUCUCCAUUUCCAAUCCCUGCUUGUUCCCAUUCCCGCUCCAUUCCCAAUCCCACCCGUUCCCAUUCCUGCUCCUCUCCAUUCCCUCUCUAUUCCCAUUCCUGCUCUAUUCCCAAUCCCUGCCCGUUCCUAUUCUCGCUCCACUCCCUCUCUGUUCCCAUUCCCACUCCAUUCCAGCUGCUGGUUCCAUUCCCUCUCUAUUCCCAUUCCCACUCCAUUCCAGCUGCUGGUUCCAUUCCCUCUCUAUUCCCAUUCCCACUCCAUUCCAGCUGCUGGUUCCAUUCCCUCUCUAUUCCCAUUCCCACUCCAUUCCAGCUGCUGGUUCCAUUCCCUCUCUAUUCCCAUUCCCACUCCAUUCCAGCUGCUGGUUCCAUUCCCUCUCUAUUCCCAUUCCCACUCCAUUCCAGCUGCUGGUUCCAUUCCCUCUCUAUUCCCAUUCCCACUCCAUUCCAGCUGCUGGUUCCAUUCCCUCUCUAUUCCCAUUCCCACUCCAUUCCAGCUGCUGGUUCCAUUCCCUCUCUAUUCCCAUUCCCACUCCAUUCCAGCUGCUGGUUCCAUUCCCUCUCUAUUCCCAUUCCCACUCCAUUCCAGCUGCUGGUUCCAUUCCCUCUCUAUUCCCAUUCCCACUCCAUUCCAGCUGCUGGUUCCAUUCCCUCUCUAUUCCCAUUCCCACUCCAUUCCAGCUGCUGGUUCCAUUCCCUCUCUAUUCCCAUUCCUCCUCCAUUCCCAAUCCCGCCCAUUCCCAAUCCCGCCCGCUUCCAUUCCCACUCCAUUCCCAAUACCGCCAGUUCCCAUUCUCGCUUCUUUCCCUUUCUUUCCCUUUCUUUCCCUUUCUUGCCCUUUCCCGCCCUUUCCCGCCCUUUCCCGCCCUUUCCCGCCGACCCCCCCCCCCCCCCCCCCCCCCCCCCCCCCCCCCCCCCCCCCCCCCCCCCCCCCCCCCCCCCCCCCCCCCCCCCCCCCCCCCCCCCCCCCCCCCCCCCGUCCCGCUCCGCCGGCUCCUGGGAAUCCCGAGAAUCCCGGGAAUCUUGGGCGGGGGGCCGAGGGUGCUGGGGCUCCCCGGGGCAGCACCGAGGCUGCUGGGGCUCGCCGAAUCAGCACCGAGGCUGCUGGGGCUCCCCGGGGCAGCACCGAGGGUCUCCCCUCUGUAA
This 1824-nucleotide long non-coding RNA is filed under the name Ficedula albicollis (Collared flycatcher). Its description in RNAcentral is "lncRNA (ENSFALG00000022866.1)". The record is from RNAcentral. Lineage: Eukaryota; Metazoa; Chordata; Aves; Passeriformes; Muscicapidae.